ACACCCCAGCCCGAUCUCAAUGGAUACCACACCCCAGCCCGAUCUCAAUAUCUAUCGUGCAGGGGUCUGGCAGGAUGACUGUAGAAAGGCUCUCGAAGGCCCUUGAUAAGAGGGAGGGAAAAAAAUAGACAGGACAACAGGACAAUUCAACGUCAUAUUGCCACAACGAACUCGAUCUGGGCCCAUUUCGAGCAGCUGGGUUACUCUAUCCGGUUAGGACUUUCACGUUGAUGCCAAAGUCCUCAUCAACUGCAAACCAAUCAUCGCGUUUUGUAAGACCCAUCGAGGCGACCAUACCUCUGACAGUGAGCAGACUAGUUCGCACAGUAGGAUAAGAAAGGUUUUUGGUUCACAGGCCAGAUACUCACAACAGACAGCAGACGUUUCGGUGACAGUCUGUCACCUUUCUCAUAGCAAUACUGACUUCUACAUACUGGUUUAAUUUCACAGUACGGCUAGGUGUCUUUGCUAGCAAUGCGGUCCAAAACAUAAAGUAUUGUCAUAUCCACAAGUAUAGAUAUUGUCCAUCAGCAAUCCAGCAGUUCGUUCAGCAUUAGGCAACCUCACUAAAAUGGUCCACAGCUUGAAAAUGAUCAUGAAAUGCUUUAUGUUUCUCAUUUUCAUGCAACUAUUUACAAUAUUGGGUGUUUCCCUUCCAACCAGAUGUUAUGUUAAAGAUGGUCGUCUCACUGAGAUUCAUUGCCCACGUUCCAACAUAACCCGUCUACCAGCUAAACCACCGCGCUUCUUGCAAAAUAUAUUCCUUCAGCAAAAUCGCAUCGAAACCAUCCAUGACUUAUCUGGCUUUCCCUUUGUCAGCAAGAUGAAUCUCAGCCAUAAUCUCAUCAAAAUAUUCCCAUGGGAAUCUUUGAAACAAAUGAAGAGCCUUCAGAUACUUGAUUUAUCUCAUAAUCGGAUAACCUCCGUUAGGCUUGACCUGGUCACAGAAGGUGCGACGGGUCUAUAUACGGUGAACAUGGCCUGCAAUCGGCUGAUGGCCUUCUCUUUGGCAAACCUGGUCAAUCCUUCUCUAAGCCGUACCAUAUACCAGCAUACAGAAGGAGGGAUGAGGUAUAUAAAUGGUAAUCCGAUUCUCUGUGACUGCCGCAUGUCCUGGUUGGCAGAAAUGGCCCUCGCGUUUCACAAGUGUUGGCCACUCACUUGUACACCUGAAGUCAGAAAGGGGCUGCUUUUUGACGACUUUAUUGUCAACCGUUUGCCUAAAUGUAGCGGUCCUGAAAGCCUAAAAGAUGCCCCGCUACACGAGGCAAACUUAAAUGUCUGCCCAGCAAAAGAAGAAAAAGUGACCGGAAAACAACUUACCAUAUUAGAAAAUACCACGACAUACUUCGUCAGCAUUUCUGUACCACUUCUGCAAGCCGAAAGGAACCAGACCAAAUUCACUCGACAACAUCUGACUCUGAUAAAUA
Branchiostoma floridae (Florida lancelet) is the source of this 1430-nucleotide long non-coding RNA. RefSeq lists it as uncharacterized. Lineage: Eukaryota; Metazoa; Chordata; Leptocardii; Amphioxiformes; Branchiostomatidae. The record is from RefSeq and is a predicted model, not a curated record. The transcript is spliced from 3 exons.